RNAcentral lists this ribosomal RNA (197 nucleotides) under uncultured bacterium. RNAcentral's name for it is "partial 16S ribosomal RNA". It matches the Rfam family "Bacterial small subunit ribosomal RNA", at positions 328 to 539 of the family's 1533-position model. The record is from RNAcentral.
ACGCUCGACACCUACGGAGGCAGCAGUGGGGAAUAUUGCACAAUGGGGGAAACCCUGAUGCAGCGACGCCGCGUGGAGGAAGAAGGUCUUCGGAUUGUAAACUCCUGUUGUUGGGGAAAAAGAGGAUGGUACCCAAGAAGGAAGUGACGGCUAAGUACGUGCUAGCAGCCGCGGUAAUCUGAGCGGGCUGGCAAGGC